GAAGUUGUUUAAAUUGAACCAAAAAUUGUGAGCCAAUACCUUACCUUUCUUUUCCUCUCCUACCUCCCUACGAGCUGCGUAGUACCCCUAUACCCCUUUCAUUUCUCUUUCUUCUGUGGCCACUAACCUUCGAUUAUACCUCCUUAGUCUUUGCCAUUGCAGGUGAGCUCAACCAGCGCCAUUGGUGGCCUUCCACGUUAGGAAAAACGCUCCUUGACGCCAAGAAAUGCAUAGUCUCGAUUUCGAUUUUUAGGUUGGAUCUCCCUCCGGCUACUUCAAUUGGAGGGAGCUCUUGGGCUCCGCAGGUUCCUCUUGUUACGGGUUUCAAGUCAUAUCAAUUUUGCCCGUCGUCGUUUUAAUAUGAAAUUUGAGGUUAUCAGCGUAUUCGACGCGUCAAGAGCUUCGAAUACAGAUGGACAUUUUUUCAUGGAAUAUCAUUACGACUCAUGAUUUUCGUGAUGAUAUUUCAGGCUUUCUUUAAUUAAAUAAAAAUAAACGCUUGAUUUGUUGUGGACUAAGUUUUGAGGUUUUCUUUUGAGUCACAUCCAUGUCACGGAGACGCAGA
Molecule: unclassified non-coding RNA, 565 nt
Filed under: Hevea brasiliensis (rubber tree)
Lineage: Eukaryota; Viridiplantae; Streptophyta; Magnoliopsida; Malpighiales; Euphorbiaceae
Source: RNAcentral